RNAcentral lists this ribosomal RNA (370 nucleotides) under uncultured eukaryote. RNAcentral describes it as "partial 18S ribosomal RNA". It matches the Rfam family "Eukaryotic small subunit ribosomal RNA", at positions 592 to 976 of the family's 1831-position model. The record is from RNAcentral.
CAAUAGCGUAUAUUAAAGUUGUUGCAGUUAAAAAGCUCGUAGUUGGAUUUCUGGUCGGAAGCUCCUGUCCUCUGAUGAGCGUACAAGUGCGUCCUACCAUCCUUCUGUUAACCUUUAAGGUUUUCGCGGCUUUCUAGGGGCUCAGAUAUUUUACCUUGAGAAAAUUAGAGUGUUUCAGGCAGGCUAGCGCCGGAAUACAUUAGCAUGGAAUAAUGGAAUAGGACUUUUGCCUCUUCUGUUGGUCAUGAGGCUCGAGUAAUGAUUAAUAGGGAUAGUUGGGGGCAUUAGUACUUAACUGUCAGAGGUGAAAUUCUCGGAUUUGUUAAAGACUAACUUAUGCGAAAGCAUUUGCCAAGGAUGUUUUCAUUAA